Molecule: ribosomal RNA, 843 nt
Filed under: Arthrobacter sp.
Lineage: Bacteria; Bacillati; Actinomycetota; Actinomycetes; Micrococcales; Micrococcaceae
Description: bacterial SSU rRNA
Rfam family: Bacterial small subunit ribosomal RNA
Source: RNAcentral
UAGAUGAACGCUGGCGGCGUGCUUAACACAUGCAAGUCGAACGAUGAUCUCCAGCUUGCUGGGGGGAUUAGUGGCGAACGGGUGAGUAACACGUGAGUAACCUGCCCUUGACUCUGGGAUAAGCCUGGGAAACUGGGUCUAAUACCGGAUACGACCGUCCCGCGCAUGCGGUGGUGGUGGAAAGCUUUUGCGGUUUUGGAUGGACUCGCGGCCUAUCAGCUUGUUGGUGGGGUAAUGGCCUACCAAGGCGACGACGGGUAGCCGGCCUGAGAGGGUGACCGGCCACACUGGGACUGAGACACGGCCCAGACUCCUACGGGAGGCAGCAGUGGGGAAUAUUGCACAAUGGGCGAAAGCCUGAUGCAGCGACGCCGCGUGAGGGAUGACGGCCUUCGGGUUGUAAACCUCUUUCAGUAGGGAAGAAGCGAAAGUGACGGUACCUGCAGAAGAAGCGCCGGCUAACUACGUGCCAGCAGCCGCGGUAAUACGUAGGGCGCAAGCGUUAUCCGGAAUUAUUGGGCGUAAAGAGCUCGUAGGCGGUUUGUCGCGUCUGCUGUGAAAGACCGGGGCUCAACUCCGGUUCUGCAGUGGGUACGGGCAGACUAGAGUGAUGUAGGGGAGACUGGAAUUCCUGGUGUAGCGGUGAAAUGCGCAGAUAUCAGGAGGAACACCGAUGGCGAAGGCAGGUCUCUGGGCAUUAACUGACGCUGAGGAGCGAAAGCAUGGGGAGCGAACAGGAUUAGAUACCCUGGUAGUCCAUGCCGUAAACGUUGGGCACUAGGUGUGGGGGACAUUCCACGUUUUCCGCGCCGUAGCUAACGCAUUAAGUGCCCCGCCUGGGAG